RNAcentral lists this ribosomal RNA (519 nucleotides) under uncultured eukaryote. Its description in RNAcentral is "SSU rRNA". It matches the Rfam family "Eukaryotic small subunit ribosomal RNA", at positions 1161 to 1703 of the family's 1831-position model. The record is from RNAcentral.
AGGGCACCACCAGGAGUGGAGCCUGCGGCCUAAUUUGACUCAACACGGGAAAUCUCACCAGGCCCGGACACUGGGAGGAUUGACAGAUUGAGAGCUCUUUCUCGAUUCGGUGGGUGGUGGUGCAUGGCCGUUCUUAGUUGGUGGAGUGAUUUGUCUGGUUAAUUCCGAUAACGAACGAGACUCUGUCCUGCUAAAUAGUUCCCGCGUCCUUUGUUGCGCGGGAAAUUCUUCUUAGAGGGACUGGCGGCGUCUAGCCGCACGAGAUUGAGCAAUAACAGGUCUGUGAUGCCCUUGGAUGUUCUGGGCCGCACGCGCGCUACACUGAAGGGAUCAGCGUGUCUUCCCUUCCCGAGAGGGACGGGUAACCCGCUGAACCCCCUUCGUGGUAGGGAUCGGGGCUUGCAAUUAUUCCCCGUGAACCAGGAAUUCCCAGUAAGCGCAAGUCAUAAGCUUGCGUUGAUUACGUCCCUGCCCUUUGUACACACCGCCCGUCGCUACUACCGAUUGAACGUUUUAGUG